This is an RNA transcript of Diceros bicornis minor, 2959 nucleotides long. It is a transcript of the gene named ubiquitin-conjugating enzyme E2 E2, with no coding region annotated. The record is from RefSeq and is a predicted model, not a curated record. Lineage: Eukaryota; Metazoa; Chordata; Mammalia; Perissodactyla; Rhinocerotidae. The transcript is spliced from 7 exons.
GGCGGCCACACCGGCAGCCGCGAGCAGCAGCCUCGGGAGCCGGAGCUGGAACGGCCGGGGGCGGCGGCGGCGGCGCUGAGGGAUCUAAAAUGUCCACUGAGGCACAAAGAGUUGAUGACAGUCCAAGUACUAGUGGAGGAAGUUCUGAUGGAGACCAACGUGAAAGUGUUCAGCAAGAACCAGAAAGAGAGCAAGUUCAGCCCAAGAAAAAGGAGGGAAAAAUAUCCAGCAAAACAGCUGCUAAAUUGUCAACUAGUGCUAAAAGAAUUCAGAAGGAACUUGCAGAAAUUACGUUGGACCCUCCUCCCAACUGUAGCAAAACAAAUACAGAAAAACAAGACCUGAGGUCGUGCUGUGCAAACCAACCGUUGGGAUCCAUCUGGUCCAACAACCUCAGCUCAUUGAGAAGAGGUGUAGCUGGCCUGCGAAAAGUAAUGCUUGCCUGCAUCCCAUCUGAUCUCCACAGACCACAUCAGAGAGCAUGUCACGUAAGGGAUUUACUGAAAGAUACUGAGGGCUUUGUGGAUUGCUGCUUCAAGAUAUUCAAUACAGUCAUGUGCUGCGUAAGGACGUUUUGGUCAACGAUGGACCGCAUAUACGACGGUGGUCCCCUAAGAUUAUAAUCGGAGCUGAAAGUUUCCUAUCGCCUAGUGACAUCGUAGCCGUCAUAAUGUUGCAUAGCUGAAGAAGGGGCAAGAGAAAAAGAAACUGCAAGAGAAGAAAAAGAAGAAGAACCUUCAAGAAAAUUCACAGUUUAGCAGAAACUUUUGCAGACCUUAAGAGGCUCCUUAAAAAGUUUGAAAACAUGGAUCCCAACACUGAAAAGUUUUCGUUAAUAGAGAGGAUUGUUCAUGGUGCAUUAUCUACCUACACACAAAUCUGUGAGGAAAAAAAACAAACCAAGCAAACCACCGUGGACAUAUUUCUGAAAAGAGUGACAGCUCCUCAAGAGGAGCCUUAGGCAGGUCCUUCAGGAGGUAUUCCAGAAGAAGGUAUUGUUAUCAUAAGAGAUGACAGCUCUAUGCGUGUUGUUGCCCUUGAAGACCUUCUAGUGGGAUAAGAUGUGGAGGUGGAAGACAGUGAUAUUGAUGAUUCUGACCCUGUGUAGGCCUAGGCUAAUGUGUGUGUGUCUUAGUUUUUAACAGAAAAGGUUAAAAGUUAAAAAAAAAAAAUAAAUUAAAAAUAGAGAAAAGCUAUAGAAUAAGGAUAUAAAGAAAAUAUUUUUGUACAGUUGUACAAUGUGUUUGUGUUUUAAGCUAAAUAUUAUUACAAAACAGUCAAAAAGUUACAAAAUUAAAAAGGUUUAUAAAGUAAAAAAGUUACAGUAAGCCAAGGUUAAUUUAUUACUGAAGAAAGGAAAGUAUUUUUACAAAUUUAGUGUAGCCUAGGUGUACAGUGGUGUACAGUGAUGUCCUAGACCUUUGCAUUCGCUCACCACUCACUCACUGACUCACCCAGAGCAACCUUCAGUCCUGCAAGCCCCAUUCACAGUAAGUGCCCUAUACAGGUGUACCAUUUUUUUAUCUUUUAUACUGUGUUUUUAUUGUACCUCUUCUAUGUUUAGAUACACAAAUACUUACCAUUGUGUUACAACUACCUACAGUAUUCAGUACAGUAACAUGCUGUAUAGGUUUGUAGCCUAGGAGCAAUAGGCUAUAACCAUAUAGCCUAGCUGUGUAGUAGGCUAUACCAUCUAGGGUUGUGUGAGUAUGUUCUGUGAUGUUCUCACAAUGAAAUUGCCUAACAACGCAUUUCUCAGAACGUAACCCCAUCGUUGAGUGAUGCAUGGCUGUAUCUAGGUUAGCCUGCUUUGUGUACUUGCUGCAGUUUUACAUUCAAGAUAAUUUAUGUUGGCUUAAACACUAAUACAAAGACCAGUCUGUUUAAAUGAGACAGAGAUUGGAAAUUUUGAGGUGUUCUGUCACUGCCAUUGAUUUUGUAUUCCCAGUUCAGUAGAUUUUCUGACAGACAUUUUACUGUCACGUGGUUGGAGAAAACCACGACCGAGCAUAAAUGGGUCUUUAAAUAUAUUUUCCUGUCAAAAUAAUUUAAUUUGUCUGUAGGAAUUUGCGAAAGCUUGUGGCUUUUAUGUCUUGUAGAUACUUAUAAAAUCAGAAUCCUACUUUAUUUCUCAAGAAGUGACUUAUGAGAAGGAAUAUAGUUCAUUGCAACUGUUUUUUUUCCUUCCUUCCUUUUCUUUUCCUUUCUUUUUUCUUUUUCCUUUUUGGUAACAAUUAUUAUUUCCCUGUACCUUGGAAUACCUAAACCAACAUAUUAGCAAACUAGUGAUUUCAAAAGCAUGAUAUAAAAACUGAACAAUAUUAAUUCUUACAGAAAUAAAAGAACAAUAUUCCUCUCUCACUUUUACUAAUAAGUGAAAAUGAAACAGUCUCUCUCAAGAGCACAGCAUGUAUCAUAAGAGGAAGAACCGGUCUUGCUUUAAUUGAUGGCUGACAACGAUGAAGACAGUAUUUGAUGUCUUGAGGCAUCACGGAGGCUUACACUACCUACUGUGUCACCAAUUUUUUGAGCAAAGAAGAGCUAAGUCAAACGUUUGUACCUUUUACCCUGUUCAUAAUAAUGAUUGUGACUUUUGAAUAAAACAAUCAUUUAUUAAAUUUAAUUUCCCAAAAUGGUAGCUACACUGCAUAAAAUUAAAAAUGCAUUAAUGUAUAUUUUGCCUUGUUAGAAAUAAGCAAACUACACGUUCACUUUUAUUUUACUCAAAUGUAAAAGAAGUAAAAAUAAUGAGCUUGAAGUGACAAAGUUUUACUAUACUUGAUAUUAUUACUAUAAAUAUUUACUCUGGAUUCAAGCUAAGUGUAAAAUAUAUGGUAAAAGCAAGCCUAAUGAAUUCUAAAUAAUUGUUAAAAUCUUGAAAGAUUAUUUUAAAUGUAUAAAAUAUAUGUAUAAUCACUAAAGCAAAUAAAAGUAAAACUGGAAGUUUAGAUACAUCAAA